AAGUCGUAACAAGGUUUCUGUAGGUGAACCUGCAGAAGGAUCAUUAGUGAAGAUUUGGGCAGGCCAUACGGACGCCAAAAAGUGUCCCUGGCCGCCUACACCCACUAUACAUCCACAAACCCGUGUGCACUGUCUUGGAGAAAGGCUUCAGAGAAGUUUUUUGUGGCCUCUCUUGGGGUCUUUCUUCGCUACAAACUCGAAUGGUUAGUAUGAACGUGGAACUUGGUUGGACCGUCACUGGCCAACAAACUAUACACAACUUUCGACAACGGAUCUCUUGGUUCUCCCAUCGAUGAAGAACGCAGCGAAACGCGAUAGGUAAUGUGAAUUGCAGAAUUCCGUGAAUCAUCGAAUCUUUGAACGCACCUUGCGCUCUAUGGCAAUCCGUAGAGCAUGCCUGUUUGAGUGCCAUGAAAUCUCCCACCCCAAGCGGUUUUUAAAUGAAACGGCUUGGCGGAUGGGGUCUGGAUGGGUGCCUCUGCCUGCGCUACCUAGCACAGGCUCGCCCGAAAUGCAUGAGCGCCUUGAGACACUUUGCAUCCGCCUCUCUGUUUGGGAGGAGGCGGCCAAGCAGUGUUUUUCUCCUGGCAUGGCAUGAUACGUCAUUUGCUAUGUCGCCUAAAGGAAGAAUGUUUGGUUGUGUCUGCGUGUGCUUCAAACUUGCCUCUGUGGCACAUCCCAAUUUCACUUCUGGUCUCAAUCAAGUAGGAUCACCCGCUGAACUUAAGCAUAUCAAUAAGCGGAGGAAAUCACUAGUGAAAUCCGCGCCCGCCUGCAAGUCGAACCAUAUGGGAAAAACUCCCAACGCGUUGGAAUGCAAAGCUGGAAUAUUCAAUAAUGGCCCCCAAAAAAACU
This 855-nucleotide ribosomal RNA is filed under the name uncultured eukaryote. Its description in RNAcentral is "eukaryotic LSU rRNA". The stretch from base 258 to 411 matches the Rfam family "5.8S ribosomal RNA". The record is from RNAcentral.